RNAcentral lists this ribosomal RNA (234 nucleotides) under uncultured bacterium. RNAcentral's name for it is "partial 16S ribosomal RNA". It matches the Rfam family "Bacterial small subunit ribosomal RNA", at positions 97 to 334 of the family's 1533-position model. The record is from RNAcentral.
GGCGGACGGGUGAGUAAUGCUUGGGAAUCCGCCCAGUAGUGGGGGACAACACGAGGAAACUCGUGCUAAUACCGCAUACGUCCUACGGGAGAAAGUGGGGGAUCUUCGGACCCCACGCUAUUGGAUGAGCCCUAGUCGGAUUAGCUUGUUGGUGGGGUAAAGGCUCACCAAGGCGACGAUCCGUAGCUGGUCUGAGAGGACGAUCAGCCACACUGGGACUGAGACACGGCCCAG